AUCAGGGGCUCGACCACGGUCCACACCUCCCGGGCGAGGUCCGGGCGGCGCCUCCUGCUCAUCUCGGCGCACCGCAGGCCGAGGUGCGCGAGCUGGUUGGCCUGCACGAACGGCCAGGCCCCCGCGGAGGGGUCGAGGACGGUGUGCAGCUCACCCUUCUCCACCGCGUCCUCCACCACCUCGGCGAUCUUCUGGGGCCGCCUGCCCGUCAGGAGCUGCAGGAUGAUGAUGCCCAAGGAGUAGACGUCGGAGCGUGGCGUCAGCUCGCCGGACGACAGGAACUCCGGGUCCAUGUAUGCGAAGGUCCCCCUCGGGGUGGUCGUCCGGUACAGCGUGGUGGCGGCGGUGGAGGUGCCGGACUGCGUCAGGAGGCGGCAGAUGCCGAAGUCCCCCAGCUUGCUCACCAGGUUGGCGUCCAGGAGGAUGUUGGCCGGCUUCAGGUCCCCGUGGACCACCGGGUGCGGCUUGUUCGAGUGCAGGAACGUCAGGGCCGAGCACAUCUCGUAG
This 507-nucleotide ribosomal RNA is filed under the name Triticum aestivum (bread wheat). RNAcentral's name for it is "partial small subunit ribosomal RNA". The record is from RNAcentral. Lineage: Eukaryota; Viridiplantae; Streptophyta; Magnoliopsida; Poales; Poaceae.